AGUGAACGCUGGCGGUAGGCCUAACACAUGCAAGUCGAACGGCAGCACAGUAAUAGCUUGCUCUUACGGGUGGCGAGUGGCGGACGGGUGAGGAAUACAGCGGAAUCUACUUUUUCGUGGGGGAUAACGUAGGGAAACUUACGCUAAUACCGCAUAAGACCUACGGGUGAAAGCAGGGGAUCUUCGGACCUUGCGCGAUUGAAUGAGCGGAUGUCGGAUUAGCUAGUUGGCGGGGUAAAGGCCCACCAAGGCGACGAUCCGUAGCUGGUCUGAGAGGAUGAUCGGCCACACUGGAACUGAGACACGGUCCAGACUCCUACGGGAGGCAGCAGUGGGGAAUAUUGGACAAUAGGCGCAAGCCUGAUCCAGCCAUACCGCGUGGGUGAAGAAGGCCUUCGGGUUGUAAAGCCCUUUUGUUGGGAAAGAAAAGCAGCAGGUUAAUACCCCGCUGUUCUGACGGUACCCAAAGAAUAAGCACCGGCUAACUUCGUG
RNAcentral lists this ribosomal RNA (492 nucleotides) under uncultured bacterium. RNAcentral describes it as "partial 16S ribosomal RNA". It matches the Rfam family "Bacterial small subunit ribosomal RNA", at positions 29 to 507 of the family's 1533-position model. The record is from RNAcentral.